RNAcentral lists this ribosomal RNA (483 nucleotides) under uncultured bacterium. RNAcentral's name for it is "bacterial SSU rRNA". It matches the Rfam family "Bacterial small subunit ribosomal RNA", at positions 27 to 507 of the family's 1533-position model. The record is from RNAcentral.
CGAACAAACGCUGGCGGCGUGCCUAACACAUGCAAGUCGAACGAGAAAGUCGGUUUCGGCCGAUGAGUAAAGUGGCGCACGGGUGAGUAACGCGUGGAUAAUCUACCCUUUAGUCCGGAAUAACUUGCCGAAAGGUGAACUAAUACCGGAUGACAUCCCGGGUUCUCCGGAAACCGGGAUCAAAGAAGGCCUCUGCUUGCAAGCUUUUGCUGAAGGAUGAGUCCGCGUACCAUUAGCUUGUUGGUGGGGUAAUGGCCUACCAAGGCUGCGAUGGUUAGCUGGUCUGAGAGGAUGAUCAGCCACACUGGAACUGAGGCACGGUCCAGACUCCUACGGGAGGCAGCAGUGAGGAAUAUUGCGCAAUGGGGGCAACCCUGACGCAGCAACGCCGCGUGGGCGAAGAAGGCCUUCGGGUUGUAAAGCCCUGUCUGGAGGGACGAAGUAAUGACGGUACCUCCGGAGGAAGCCACGGCUAACUACGUG